This is a long non-coding RNA of Ornithodoros turicata, 236 nucleotides long. RefSeq lists it as uncharacterized. The transcript is spliced from 2 exons. The record is from RefSeq and is a predicted model, not a curated record. Lineage: Eukaryota; Metazoa; Arthropoda; Arachnida; Ixodida; Argasidae.
UACUCGCACGACAAACAAAGGCGCGGUGAAAGAUAACGCCUUAUCUGCCUUCCACAUAAGCAGGUUUCCCAUAAGCGUCCCUCCAGACCCCGCCAGGUGAUCGAUGGAGCUCCAUCUCUUCACGUGAACAUCACUGAAACUCAAGAGUGAGGAGGGACAUUGGUCUGACCUUGGAAAACCCAUGACGACGAACCAGGAAACCAUCAGUGCAGGGUCCAAAGACUGACACGUGAUCC